RNAcentral lists this long non-coding RNA (629 nucleotides) under Sus scrofa (pig). RNAcentral's name for it is "lncRNA (ENSSSCG00025055542.1)". The record is from RNAcentral. Lineage: Eukaryota; Metazoa; Chordata; Mammalia; Artiodactyla; Suidae.
AUGCUCUCCCAGCUCUCCACCGCCCUGGUGACUUCCUCACGCUGGGGCCACCGGCCUUUCUGGUUCCCCUUCGGCAAAUACACUCCAGUCCCCCAGAGACCGAUUUCCACGGAAACCAUGGCCACAGGGCGCCUUCUAGAGAGGCUGUCUGUCGAGCAGGGUGUGGCAGAAAGGAGGCACAGUCUCAGGAUGACGUUAGAAAUGGGAACAAGACACAGAGACAGCAGAAGAGCCCGUGAACAUGCCAAGUGUUUGAGAACAUUUCUAUCGGUGGAGGGACAGACCUCAGAAAGAUCAGGAGGCCAGACACAGAGCACCUGCUGUGUGCCAGGCUUGAGGCAAAGUGCUGGAGGGGUCGGGGGUCAGAUGGCACCUUGUCUCCAGGGCGUUUGCAGCCUCUCAGUGCACAGAGAAUCACACCAAACAAGAGCACAGCAAAGAACGGAGCAUACGGGCGCACGUCACCAGUUUGCUGCAGUGGCAAGGAGUUACUGAUGUUCUGUGAUUUUAGGAAUGUUAAGACAAUCCUAACUGGGUCACCAUGCUGUACAGUAGGAAAAAAAUAAUGCAUUGGGGAAAUGAAAAAAUUAAAGAAUAAAAUAAAAUAAAAUAAAAUAACCCCCCUGGAG